AUGAACGCUGGCGGCGUGCUUAACACAUGCAAGUCGAACGAUGAACCAGGUGCUUGCACUUGGGGAUUAGUGGCGAACGGGUGAGUGACACGUGAGUAACCUGCCCCUGACUUCAGGAUAAGCCCGGGAAACUGGGUCUAAUACUGGAUAUGACUAUUGACCGCAUGGUUGGUGGUGGAAAGAUUUAUUGGUUGGGGAUGGACUCGCGGCCUAUCAGCUUGUUGGUGAGGUAAUGGCUCACCAAGGCGACGACGGGUAGCCGGCCUGAGAGGGUGACCGGCCACACUGGGACUGAGACGCGGCCCAGACUCCUACGGGAGGCAGCAGUGGGGAAUAUUGCACAAUGGGCGAAAGCCUGAUGCAGCGACGCCGCGUGAGGGAUGACGGCCUUCGGGUUGUAAACCUCUUUCAGUAGGGAAGAAGCCGAAAGGUGACGGUACUUGCAGAAGAAGCGCCGGCUAACUACGUGCCAGCAGCCGCGGUAAUACGUAGGGCGCGAGCGUUAUCCGGAUUCAUUGGGCGUAAAGAGCUCGUAGGCGGUUUGUCGCGUCUGCCGUGAAAGACCAGGGCUCAACCCUGGUUCUGCGGUGGGUACGGGCAGACUAGAGUGAUGUAGGGGAGACUGGGAAUUCCUGGUGUAGCGGUGAAAUGCGCAGAUAUCAGGAGGAACACCGAUGGCGAAGGCAGGUCUCUGGGCAUUUACUGACGCUGAGGAGCGAAAGCAUGGGGAGCGAACAGGAUUAGAUACCCUGGUAGUCCAUGCCGUAAACGUUGGGCACUAGGUGUGGGGGACAUUCCACGUUUUCCGCGCCGUAGCUAACGCAUUAAGUGCCCCGCCUGGGGAGUACGGCCGCAAGGCUAAAACUCAAAGGAAUUGACGGGGGCCCGCACAAGCGGCGGAGCAUGCGGAUUAAUUCGAUGCAACGCGAAGAACCUUACCAAGGCUUGACAUGUUCCAGACCGCUCCAGAGAUGGGGUUUCCCUUCGGGGCUGGUUCACAGGUGGUGCAUGGUUGUCGUCAGCUCGUGUCGUGAGAUGUUGGGUUAAGUCCCGCAACGAGCGCAACCCUCGUUCCAUGUUGCCAGCACGUAGUGGUGGGGACUCAUGGGAGACUGCCGGGGUCAACUCGGAGGAAGGUGGGGAUGACGUCAAAUCAUCAUGCCCCUUAUGUCUUGGGCUUCACGCAUGCUACAAUGGCCGGUACAAUGGGUUGCGAUACUGUGAGGUGGAGCUAAUCCCUAAAAGCCGGUCUCAGUUCGGAUUGGGGUCUGCAACUCGACCCCAUGAAGUCGGAGUCGCUAGUAAUCGCAGUUCAGCAACGCUGCGGUGAAUACGUUCCCGGGCCUUGCACACACCGC
Molecule: ribosomal RNA, 1358 nt
Filed under: uncultured bacterium
Lineage: Bacteria
Description: bacterial SSU rRNA
Rfam family: Bacterial small subunit ribosomal RNA
Source: RNAcentral